UACGUAGGGUGCGAGCGUUGUCCGGAAUUAUUGGGCGUAAAGGGCUCGUAGGCGGUCUGUCGCGUCGGCUGUGAAAUCCCGAGGCUCAACCUCGGGUCUGCAGUCGAUACGGGCAAACUAGAGUAUUGCAGGGGAGACUGGAAAUUCCUGGUGUAGCGGUGAAAUGCGCAGAUAUCAGGAGGAACACCGGUGGCGAAGGCGGGUCUCUGGGCAGUAACUGACGCUGAGGAGCGAAAGCGUGGGGAGCGAACAGG
RNAcentral lists this ribosomal RNA (254 nucleotides) under uncultured bacterium. Its description in RNAcentral is "partial 16S ribosomal RNA". It matches the Rfam family "Bacterial small subunit ribosomal RNA", at positions 524 to 776 of the family's 1533-position model. The record is from RNAcentral.